RNAcentral lists this long non-coding RNA (471 nucleotides) under Dromaius novaehollandiae (emu). Its description in RNAcentral is "lncRNA (ENSDNVG00000007734.1)". Lineage: Eukaryota; Metazoa; Chordata; Aves; Casuariiformes; Dromaiidae. The record is from RNAcentral.
GAGAGAGCCAAAAGCAUGCAUGAACUUGUUGAUGUUCUAGGUUUACUACCACAUACAGGAAAAUUUACAUAACAAUCUCRCAUCCUACUCUGCAUCCAAGAUCUGUGGUGUAUUGUGGAUUUUUUUUUUCUUUCUUUUAGUCUAAGAAGGUUUCUGAAAUGGGGAAAGUGCCAACCUCAGAUCAUCAAAGGGUUACCUCGUCAAAACUGCCCAAGAGGUUAUAACAAAGAUAAUAGAAGCAACAGGAAAUCAGAAGCAACCUUACAACUCAGGAUAAAAGUAGCAUGAGAAAACUGAGGAUAUAAAGGCAGGGGAAAACCGACCUCUCUUCAGGAGGAAAAAUCAAGCUGCUGAUGUGUCUGGUUGGCAUGGUGGAGAAGAGGUAUAGGAAGGUUUGUUUGUUUUUAUUUUGAAUUGGAUUGCUAUCUGGAAAAGGCAACCAGUCAGGGUUUGGGUCUUGCCUGUUUGUUU